Anneissia japonica is the source of this 309-nucleotide long non-coding RNA. RefSeq lists it as uncharacterized. The record is from RefSeq and is a predicted model, not a curated record. The transcript is spliced from 3 exons. Lineage: Eukaryota; Metazoa; Echinodermata; Crinoidea; Comatulida; Comatulidae.
CUGGUACAGAGACCUUGGCAAGGAUUAUACCACAUUCAUAUCAGCUCUGGAAGACGAUAUGUGGGAGCUGAUUACCAACUUGGUUAUAAGGUUACAGAAAGUGGAUAUGGUGCGGUUCAUGGCCCUGGAUGUUACUGAAACAUUAUGUGAUCACUUUAGGGAACUUCGGGAGACAUCACCAAGGUAACUGUACACUUUAACAGCCAAUCAUAAGAAUGGAAAGGCCAGUAGUUUUAUAUUUUUAACAAGCAAGUGAUUAAUAUUUGGCUCACCCAAAAUUAUGCUUGUAUGUGUUCCAACUUUCUAUUA